Molecule: microRNA precursor, 191 nt
Filed under: Helianthus annuus (common sunflower)
Lineage: Eukaryota; Viridiplantae; Streptophyta; Magnoliopsida; Asterales; Asteraceae
Description: sRNA HanXRQr2_Chr02g0071261
Rfam family: MIR159 microRNA precursor family
Source: Rfam by way of RNAcentral
GAAUGAAGAAUGGAGCUUUCUUAUGUUCAACCAUGAGCUGCUGUAAGAUUUCAAUUAGCUGCUGACUCAUUCAUCCAAAUACUAUGUAACAAAAUGUUGUGUUACCUAGUAAAUGAGUGAAUGAAGCAGGAGACAAAUUGGAUCUCAAGCUUCUUGCAUUUGGACUGAAGGGAGCUCCCUUCCCCAUCCAU